AGUGGGAUAGCUGGGUCAUAUGGUGGUUCCAUUCCUAGUCUUUUGAGGAAUUACCAUACUGCUUUCCAAAGUGGUUGUACUAAUUUACAGUCCCACCAACAAU
This 103-nucleotide microRNA precursor is filed under the name Marmota monax (woodchuck). Lineage: Eukaryota; Metazoa; Chordata; Mammalia; Rodentia; Sciuridae. The record is from RNAcentral.